Molecule: small nucleolar RNA, 108 nt
Organism: Ipomoea nil (Japanese morning glory)
Lineage: Eukaryota; Viridiplantae; Streptophyta; Magnoliopsida; Solanales; Convolvulaceae
Rfam family: Small nucleolar RNA snoR97
Source: Rfam
GUUUAAUUUUGGUGAUUGCAACUGAUAAACUCAUAUAUUGAGUGUUGUCCAUCACCUCCUACCUUCGGAUGUUCUACUGGAAUGGAGUUAAAUAACAGCACAACAUCA